This 419-nucleotide ribosomal RNA is filed under the name uncultured bacterium. RNAcentral's name for it is "bacterial SSU rRNA". It matches the Rfam family "Bacterial small subunit ribosomal RNA", at positions 355 to 774 of the family's 1533-position model. The record is from RNAcentral.
UGGGGAAUAUUGCGCAAUGGCCGAAAGGCUGACGCAGCGACGCCGCGCGGGGGAUGAAGCAUUUCGGUGUGUAAACCCCUGUUGCCCGGGACGAACAAGCAGAUUUUUCUGCUCUGUCGGUACCGGGUGAGGAAGCACCGGCUAACUCCGUGCCAGCAGCCGCGGUAAUACGGAGGGUGCGAGCGUUGUCCGGAAUCACUGGGCGUAAAGGGCGCGUAGGCGGUCUGCUAAGCGUGCGGUGAAAGCCCGGGGCUCAACCCCGGGUCUGCCGUGCGAACUGGUGGACUAGAGCACUGUAGAGGCAGGUGGAAUUCCGGGUGUAGCGGUGGAAUGCGUAGAGAUCCGGAAGAACACCGGUGGCGAAGGCGGCCUGCUGGGCAGUAGCUGACGCUGAGGCGCGACAGCGUGGGGAGCAAACA